Molecule: long non-coding RNA, 922 nt
Organism: Mesocricetus auratus (golden hamster)
Lineage: Eukaryota; Metazoa; Chordata; Mammalia; Rodentia; Cricetidae
Exons: 3
Source: RefSeq, a predicted model, not a curated record
UGCCCUGCCUGAGUUCCUGUCCUGACUUCCCUGGUGACGGACAGUGACCUAGUGGAGGGAAGGUAGAAUUCUAACUCUGGUCGUCUCCUGCUGCUGUGUGUCCCUGGGGAAGCACUUUAGUCUCUGAGCCACGGUGUAAGAGAUGAUGGAAACGCCCACCUUUGAGUGCCCCCCAUGACUGCGGCUGGUGAGAAACUGUUACAUCUCCACAGACCGUUCUUGUAGCCAGUCUCCAGGAUUAAGAUUCUGAAGGCCGUGUUUACCCAGCUCACAUAUCCUUUGUAAUAGCUUUCAGAACGGUUUACAGAAAAAAAAAUUAAAUGCUACUUAGCAUGCUCAGAAAUUCCCUGAAAGACAAGAGUACACUAUGCUGUCAUGUGACUUGGGGGGAGAGGAUGGUGCUGUUCCCCUUUAGAACAAUAGCUGGCGUAGAACUGUGUGUGUGUAUGGAAGGACGUGUGUACAUUUGGGGGUGGGUAGCAUGACUGGACUCCAGGAAGGCUACUUCUUGCCUAUGCAGUAGCUACUGCAGCUGGGCUGCUAUUCAACAUACUGAGGAUGGAGUAUGUAAAGAUGUUAGUAUCCCCUGCUAGUCUACCCGCGAGGUUCCGGCUGGUGGGUGGUGAUCCACCUGCACACACAGCGAGGGGACUCUUCAACAGUUACCCAUCACUAUGCAAUAUUUGUCCGCUCACCCAUCCACUCAGUCAACCCUGAACUAGCCCACUGAAGAAAACUCUGCCUACUCUGCCCACUGAAGAAAACUCUGCCUACUCUGCCCACUGAAGAAAGAAAACUCUGCCUACUCUGCCCACUGAAGAAAGAAAACUCUGCCUACUCUGCCCACUGAAGAAAGAAAACUCUGCCUACUCUGCCCACUGAAGAAAACACUACCUACUCUGCCCACUGAAGAAAACUCUGC